This is a long non-coding RNA of Lathyrus oleraceus (garden pea), 1753 nucleotides long. RefSeq lists it as uncharacterized. NCBI's taxonomy places the organism in Eukaryota, Viridiplantae, Streptophyta, Magnoliopsida, Fabales, Fabaceae. The transcript is spliced from 2 exons. The record is from RefSeq and is a predicted model, not a curated record.
UACCGGAAGUCUUUUUGCAAGAGUUCCGGUGCGAGGGGUGUGAAAGUGUAAUUUUUGCAAUUUUCAACUGAAUGGUAAAAAUGAAAUGGUAAAUUGGUUAAAACCAAUUAAGGGUAAAAUGGGAAUUUUUAAAUUUUUGUAGGGGUAUGGAGUUAAUUGUAGGGGUACAAGUUAAAAUUUUCCCAAAGACCCUCAACCGGAUCCACCAAAAGACCCUCAAGAACGGGUUCAGUGUAAAUCAAACCCCAUUCUCCAUGUUCGAUAACUUGUGGCCUCAACAGUACGCCCAACAUUUCGCGAAUGGAUCCGGCCGCGGCGCAACGAAAUCGGCGCGUUUCAACGUCCCCGAAUCAGCUUCCGAGUGAGUCAUCAGUUCGAAAUUCCACUCGUUCAUCCUCAUGCGUGCACGGAUUAAAGUAAACAGAAUCGAUGCGAAGCGAAUGAAACUUACCGCUAUGAAGUUUUGACGCGAAGAUUCCGUUCUAAUCUUCUUCCUUGGUCAUGCUCCAUUAUUGUUGUUCGUCGGUUCCGUCACGUUGUUGAAUCAUUAUGGUGUGCGGCGAACACGGUGAUGAUGACAUUGAUGCAUUGCGAUUGGUGAAGAGCUUCGAGAAAUCCCUGGUAUGCCCUCCUCAAAUCUCUUCUUCGGUUUCACUCUAUGCUACAGUCUUCUUCUGAGCUUUUCUGUGAGUAUAGCGAGUUAUGAGCUGCGAAAAUGAGAGCCAAAAUUAUGUUGUUUAAGGAUUGAAUUGAGUUGCAGCAAUGUCCUCUGAGUUUGAAUUGAAGGAUUAAUUCAAAAGAGAAAAUGGACUCCCUCUUCAAUUUUUGUUUCUAUUCGUUUUCUCUUUUCUUUCUCGGUUGAGAAAUUUUGGAUUUCGGUUUCGAGAUUGAUUGAAAAGGUUCGGGUUUGUUUUCUAUGGAGUUGUGGAGUGAUUUUUGGUUAUGAAGAUCGAUCCCUGUGGAUCAAGGCCCUCCUCUGCUAUGUAUGGAUAAGUUAGUUAUACAGAGGAGUUGAAAGUUGUUAGAGUUUAGAGAUUUUCAGUCAGAAGUUUGUUAUGAGGUUAACUAAUCGUUAGUUCUAUUACAAACCGUUUUGUGGAAGUGUGCUUUUUUGCAGUUUUUUUUGGUCUUGUUAGAGAAAAAAGGAAGGGUGGUUAUUGGAGUUAAUGGUGAAGUUUGGUUAGAAGGUUGUUGGAGGUUACAAGGUUGGAGACUUUUCUAUUUGAGGUGUGAAAGUUCUUGAAGUGAAGUUCGUUGUGGAAGGUUGCAACGACAACUUUUGAUUUGUUGUUCUUGGCUGGAUUUGGAUAGAUUAUUAUUUGGUAUUUGCGUUGUCGGCAGUGUGCUGAAGUUGGUUUUGGUGCUGCAGCUUUGGUUUGCAGCAUGCGCUUCAAUUACGUUAUGCAGUUAAGCUAUAUUUUUGCUGCGACUUUGAUGUUGCUGCGGUUGGUUUCUUAAUACUAUAUCACCCUCCACCACACUGUUCACCAAUACCUAGCAGGUCGAAGUCCAUUCCGACCAAGGCUUGCACCAACAGUUUUUUUCAUGACUGAAUAAAAGCAAGACGGGUCCAUCCCAAGCUUCCAUCUGGCCCUUGUAGUAGUUGCAGCAGUCAAUUGCCUCAUGGAAUUUAUUUGUAUUGACAUUUGAAAAUGAAUGUAUGGUUUAUGGUUUGGAUUUAAAAUUGGCUAUUGGUUUUAAAAAUGUGUGAUGGAUUAAUUUGGAUAUUUGAAGUGGACAUGGACUUAAUGAA